UUCCAGACUCCUACGGGAGGCAGCAGUGGGGAAUAUUGCACAAUGGGGGAAACCCUGAUGCAGCGACGCCGCGUGAGUGAAGAAGUAUUUCGGUAUGUAAAGCUCUAUCAGCAGGGAAGAUAAUGACGGUACCUGAGUAAGAAGCCCCGGCUAACUACGUGCCAGCAGCCGCGGUAAUACGUAGGGGGCAAGCGUUAUCCGGAUUUACUGGGUGUAAAGGGAGCGUAGACGGCAUGGCAAGUCUGAAGUGAAAGCCCGGGGCUCAACCGCGGGACUGCUUUGGAAACUGUUAAGCUGGAGUGCAGGAGAGGUAAGUGGAAUUCCUAGUGUAGCGGUGAAAUGCGUAGAUAUUAGGAGGAACACCAGUGGCGAAGGCGGCUUACUGGACUGUAACUGACGUUGAGGCUCGAAAGCGUGGGGAGCAAACAGGAUUAGAUACCCCAGUAC
Molecule: ribosomal RNA, 447 nt
Filed under: uncultured bacterium
Lineage: Bacteria
Description: bacterial SSU rRNA
Rfam family: Bacterial small subunit ribosomal RNA
Source: RNAcentral